UUAUUAAUACCCCCAAAACCACUUAUAUUAAACUAAACAAACCAUUUUUCCCCCUAAGUAUGGGCGACAGAAAAGGAACAUUAGAGCUAUAGAAAAAGUACCGCAAGGGAAUGCUGAAAAAGAAGUGAAACAACUCAGUAAAGUUUAAAAAAGCAGAGACUUACACUCGUACCUUUUGCAUCAUGAUUUAGUCAGUAAAAACAAGCAAAAAGUACUUUAGUUUGUUUUCCCGAAACUAAGUGAGCUACUCCAAGACAGCCUAAAAAUAGGGCUAACCCGUCUCUGUGGCAAAAGAGUGGGAUGAGCUUAGAGUAGAGGUGACAAACCUACCGAACUUAGUUAUAGCUGGUUGCUUGAGAAAUGAAUAGAAGUUCAGCUUUUUAGUUUCUCCCCCCAACCUGUUUAACUACCACCGAACUAAAGAAACCAAAAAAGUUAAUUAAAGGGGGUACAGCUCCUUUAAACAAGAUACAACUUCACCAGCCGGGUAAAGAUCAUACAUCACCAAGGUAAAAUGUUUUAGUGGGCCUAAAAGCAGCCACCUAUAAGAAAGCGUCAAAGCUCCUUCAUACCACCACCCCUAAAUUUAGAUAAUACAUUCUAAACCCGCUAAUUUUAUCAAGCCGCCCCAUGCUACCAUGGGGGUGAUUAUGCUAAAAUGAGUAAUAAGAAAAGCCACCUUUUCUCCUUGCACUCGUGUAAAUCGAAACGGACCCCCCAUCGAACAUUAAUCGGCCCCAAAAAAAGAGGGUAAUGAAUUAUUAACCCCAAUAACAAGAAAAGCACCCAGAUAUUAACCGUUAACCUCACACUAGUAUGCUUAUAAGGAAAGACUAAAAGAAAAAGAAGGAACUCGGCAAAUACAAGCCUCGCCUGUUUACCAAAAACAUCGCCUCUUGAAAACUAAGUAUAAGAGGUCC
Molecule: ribosomal RNA, 920 nt
Filed under: Betta kuehnei
Lineage: Eukaryota; Metazoa; Chordata; Actinopteri; Anabantiformes; Osphronemidae
Description: partial 16S ribosomal RNA
Rfam family: Bacterial large subunit ribosomal RNA (bases 156-658)
Source: RNAcentral